RNAcentral lists this ribosomal RNA (169 nucleotides) under Etelis coruscans (deepwater longtail red snapper). RNAcentral describes it as "partial 12S ribosomal RNA". Lineage: Eukaryota; Metazoa; Chordata; Actinopteri; Lutjaniformes; Lutjanidae. The record is from RNAcentral.
CACCGCGGUUAUACGAGAGACCCAAGUUGAUAGACACCGGCGUAAAGAGUGGUUAAGACAAACUAGAUACUAAAGCCGAACGCCCUCAGAGCUGUUAUACGCAUCCGAAGGUAAGAAGUUCAACCACGAAAGUGGCUUUAUAUUAUCUGAUCCCACGAAAGCUAAGGCA